RNAcentral lists this long non-coding RNA (262 nucleotides) under Ictidomys tridecemlineatus (thirteen-lined ground squirrel). RNAcentral describes it as "lncRNA (ENSSTOG00000031879.1)". The record is from RNAcentral. Lineage: Eukaryota; Metazoa; Chordata; Mammalia; Rodentia; Sciuridae.
CAAAGCAGCUGUUUUGAAAUCCCUGGUGGUGAAAGCCUGUCUUAACUGCACUCCACACUGGAAGGAGUGUUUGGAACCUCUUCAGCUGCCCUACUGUGACCAGGAAGCAGUGCAAGCAGUACUCCCUCAGUGACUAGGCACAGCUUUGUGGAGGUGACAGUUUUUUCUUCCUGUCCUUGAGGCAAGUAUUUCCGUUUUUUUUUUUUCUUCCUUUUUUUACUCAUUUAUUAAACAAGUCUUUACGGAGCAUGGAUUAUGUUUC